RNAcentral lists this ribosomal RNA (253 nucleotides) under uncultured bacterium. RNAcentral's name for it is "partial 16S ribosomal RNA". It matches the Rfam family "Bacterial small subunit ribosomal RNA", at positions 524 to 776 of the family's 1533-position model. The record is from RNAcentral.
UACGGAGGGAGCUAGCGUUGUUCGGAAUUACUGGGCGUAAAGCGCACGUAGGCGGCUUUUUAAGUCAGGGGUGAAAUCCUGGGGCUCAACCCCGGAACUGCCCUUGAAACUGGAGAGCUAGAAUCUUGGAGAGGCGAGUGGAAUUCCGAGUGUAGAGGUGAAAUUCGUAGAUAUUCGGAAGAACACCAGUGGCGAAGGCGGCUCACUGGCUCGGUACUGGCGCUGAGGUGCGAAAGCGUGGGGAGCAAACAGG